UCCACAAGACUUGACCGGGUAGACAUUGAGGGCCGUGACCUCGCCCACUAGCUCGUACGUUUUCCUCUUCCUUCUUAUCCAAACGAGAACUGUAACCGUUGCGACAGAAGCAACACAUGCACACAAAAGCGGACCUCUUGGAAGUAUCGGCCAUCGAAUCAUUGUUUUAUUAUAACAUAUAUGAAUUAUUUUUUUCUAGACACGUGUACGAUAACUUGCAUCAACUGAAAUAAGUAUUAAAACGAAAAAGUAUUUCUCCAGUGAUGUGUCGUGAAUCUUUUCCCUGGACCUUGUCACCUUACAACUGGACCAAAGAAGGCUGUAGGUUGCAGACGAUUGCAGACUGUGUUCAGGAGUAUUAUAGCUGAACAGGAAGAAGGGAUUCAGCAUCUGACCAGUACCAUAUGGGUCAUCUGAGAGAUUGACCAGAAGGUAUGACUUCCCUAAACACAGAGGGACAAGAUGUUGACAUGACAAG
This is a long non-coding RNA of Physella acuta, 478 nucleotides long. RefSeq lists it as uncharacterized. The record is from RefSeq and is a predicted model, not a curated record. Lineage: Eukaryota; Metazoa; Mollusca; Gastropoda; Physidae.